UAGGGAAUAUUGCACAAUGGAGGAAACUCUGAUGCAGCAACGCCGCGUGAGUGAAGAAGGCCCUUGGGUCGUAAAGCUCUUUAGCCUGGAAAGAAGUGCUUAUAGGUAAACAAUCUGUAGGUGUGACGGUACCAGGAGAAUAAGGACCGGCUAAUUUCGUGCCAGCAGCCGCGGUAAUACGAAGGGUCCAAGCGUUACUCGGAAUUACUGGGCGUAAAGCGCGCGUAGGCGGCUUUGUAUGUCGAUUGUGAAAGCCCCGGGCUCAACCUGGGAACUGCAGUCGAAACUGCAAAGCAUGAAUGUUGGAGAGGUUGGGGGAAUACCUAGUGGAGAAGUGAAAUUCGUAGAGAUUAGGUGGAACACCAGAGGCGAAGGCGCCUGACUGGCCAAACAUUGACGCUGAGGCGCGAAAGCGUGGGUAGCAAACA
RNAcentral lists this ribosomal RNA (428 nucleotides) under uncultured bacterium. RNAcentral describes it as "bacterial SSU rRNA". It matches the Rfam family "Bacterial small subunit ribosomal RNA", at positions 355 to 774 of the family's 1533-position model. The record is from RNAcentral.